This 87-nucleotide transfer RNA is filed under the name Bacteroidota bacterium. RNAcentral's name for it is "tRNA-Ser". It matches the Rfam family "tRNA". Rfam says of the family: Transfer RNA (tRNA) molecules are approximately 80 nucleotides in length. Their secondary structure includes four short double-helical elements and three loops (D, anti-codon, and T loops). The record is from RNAcentral. Lineage: Bacteria; Pseudomonadati; Bacteroidota.
GGAGAGAUGGCUGAGUGGCCGAAAGCACCAGUUUGCUAAACUGACGUACGGGCAACUGUACCGAGGGUUCGAAUCCCUCUCUCUCCG